CCUACGGGCGGCAGCAGUGGGGAAUCUUCCGCAAUGGGCGAAAGCCUGACGGAGCAACGCCGCGUGAUCGAAUGAAGGCCUUCGGGUUGUAAAGAUCUGUUGACAGGGACGAAUAAGCCAUGCGAAUAGUUUGGUGUAUGACGGUACCUGUUUAGAAAGCUCCGGCUAACUACGUGCCAGCAGCCGCGGUAAUACGUAGGGAGCAAGCGUUGUCCGGAAUUAUUGGGCGUAAAGGGCGCGUGGGUGGGUGGUUAAGUCAGGUGUUAAAACUCUGGGCUCAACCUGGAGACUGCACUUGAAACUGGGUAUCUUGAGUGCAGGAGAGGAAUGUGGAAUGCCUGGUGUAGCGGUGAAAUGCGUAGAUAUUAGGAAGAACACCAGUGGCGAAGGCGACUUUCUGGACUGUACCUGACGCGGAGGCGCGAAAGCGUGGGUAGCGAACGGGAUUAGAUACCCUGGUAGUC
This 464-nucleotide ribosomal RNA is filed under the name uncultured bacterium. RNAcentral's name for it is "partial 16S ribosomal RNA". It matches the Rfam family "Bacterial small subunit ribosomal RNA", at positions 338 to 795 of the family's 1533-position model. The record is from RNAcentral.